Hibiscus syriacus is the source of this 3769-nucleotide RNA transcript. It is a transcript of the gene named kinesin-like protein KIN-4A, with no coding region annotated. The record is from RefSeq and is a predicted model, not a curated record. Lineage: Eukaryota; Viridiplantae; Streptophyta; Magnoliopsida; Malvales; Malvaceae. The transcript has 26 exons.
AAUGUCAACUAAACCAAACAAAGGCUCACCGGUGGAAGUUAGAAGCAGUGAAGAAGAAGAAAAGAUCGAUAGCGGUUGUUACUGUCUCUGUCUUCAUAUCUCUUCAUUUCUGUUUCUCUUUCUUCUAAUUUGUUUAUAUUUUCAAACAAAUUCGUUAUAACCUUUGCCACCGCCCCCUCCCCUCCCCGCCACGUUCUUUUCUUUUCCUUUAAUCUUAAUCCGAGCUCAUUAAGCUUGCAGUUGAGAUUACUCUGUUUUCAGAGAUAUUAAAUUGAAAAAGGAAACGAAGCUCAGAUUUCUGUUUCUUCAUCUGCAUUUUGCUUCGGAUUUUUUUCCUUUGUUGGAGUUGUUACAAAUGGAGGUAGCCGAGAACUGCUCGGUGAAAGUAGCAGUUCAUAUUAGGCCGUUAAUCGGCGAUGAACGAACUCAAGGUUGUAAAGAAUGUGUUACUGUUACUAAAGGAAAGCCUCAGGUGCAAAUUGGGACACAUUCCUUUACAUUUGACCAUGUUUAUGGAAAUGGUGCUUCUCCAACUUCUAUGUUUGAAGAAUGCGUUGCUCCUCUUGUUGAUGGUUUAUUCCAAGGAUACAAUGCUACUGUACUUGCUUAUGGCCAGACAGGAUCUGGGAAAACAUAUACCAUGGGAACAGCCAUCAAAGAUGGUAGCGAGACAGGAUUGAUUCCUCAAGUUAUGAACUCGUUGUUCAAGAAAAUUGAAACAUUGAAGCAUCAAACAGAAUUCCAGCUACAUGUUUCAUUCAUAGAGAUCCUGAAGGAAGAAGUGAGGGAUUUACUGGAUUCUGAACCUGUAAGCAAACCUGCUACUCCUAAUGGAAAUGCCGUGAAAGCCACAGUUCCUGGAAGACCACCCAUACAAAUUCGUGAAUCAUCAAAUGGAAUUAUAACACUGGCUGGAUCUACUGAAGUUGCAGUCAGUACUCUACAAGACAUGGCUGCUUGCCUGGAGCAAGGAUCAGUAAACAGGGCAACUGGGAGCACAAAUAUGAAUAACCAGUCCAGUCGGUCCCAUGCCAUCUUUACGAUCACGUUAGAACAAAUGCACAAAAUCCAAUUAGUUUCUGCUGUCAAUGACACUCCGGAUGAAGAUAUGGGUGAAGAGUUUUUAUGUGCGAAGCUCCAUUUGGUAGAUCUUGCUGGAUCUGAACGAGCUAAAAGAACAGGUUCUGAUGGUCUUCGGUUGAAAGAAGGUAUACAUAUUAACAGAGGGCUUCUUGCACUCGGCAAUGUAAUCAGUGCUCUUGGGGAUGAGAAAAAGCGUAAAGAAGGUGUGCACGUUCCUUAUCGAGACAGUAAACUGACUCGACUCUUGCAGGAUUCACUUGGUGGAAACAGCAAAACGGUUAUGAUAGCUUGUAUAAGUCCUGCAGACAUCAACGCAGAGGAAAGUCUUAAUACCCUGAAAUAUGCUAACCGUGCUCGCAAUAUCCAGAAUAAGCCUGUUGUUAAUAGAGAUUUAGUAUCCAGUGAGAUGCAAAAAAUGCGUCACCAGCUGCAGUAUUUACAAGCUGAACUUUGUUCUCGAGAAGGGCCUACUUCAGAUAUAAAGAGUCUCAAAGAAAGGAUUGCUUGGCUGGAGGCUACUAAUGAGAAUCUUCACCGAGAACUUCAUGACUACCGCAGCAAACGUGCUGUGGUAGAGUGUUGUGAUGCCGGUGCUCAGGAAGACCAUUCAUGUUUUUUGAAAAAUGAUGGACACAAGAGGGCCAUUCAGUGUAUGGACUCAUCAGACUAUAAAAUGGAUGAAGUAUUGUCAGAUGAAAAUCCAGAAGAAAUUGACGAAGUAGCAAAACAAUUGGAGCAUGCAGUUUGGCAGAAUAACAUGGAUAGAGAAUUGAAAGAGUUGAACAAACGCUUGGAGCAGAAAGAGUCUGAGAUGAAACUUGUUGGAGGAGCUGACACUGAAGCACUAAAGCAGCACUUUCAGAAGAAAAUCACGGAACUUGAGGAGGAAAAAAGAAUUGUGCAGCAAGAAAGAGAUCGUUUGUUAGCUGCAGUUGAGAACCGUGUAGCUAAUUCUGAUUCAAAAAUGCAAAAAGAACAAGAGAUCAAUGUGCAGAAACUAAAAGCACUUGAGGCACAGAUUUCUGAUCUCAAGAAGAAACAGGAAAACCAGGUUGAGCUCCUAAAGCAGAAGCAGAGAAGUGAAGACGCUGCAAAACGGUUGCAAGCAGAAAUACAGUUCAUUAAGGGUCAAAAAGUUCAAUUGCAGCACAAGAUAAAACAAGAGGCAGAACAAUUUCGACAAUGGAAGGCCAAUCGUGAAAAGGAGUUGUUGCAGCUUAAAAAGGAGGGAAGGAGGAAUGAGUUUGAAAGACAUAAACUCGAAGCCCUGAAUCAACGCCAAAAAAUGGUUCUUCAAAGGAAAACAGAAGAGGCAGCAAUGGCUACCAAAAGGCUGAAAGAGUUGUUAGAAGCACGAAAGUCUUCUAUACGUGAUAACUCAGUUAAUCACAAUGGACAUACACCAAAUGGACAGAGCAAUGAAAAAUCUGUGCAAAGGUGGCUUGAUCAUGAGCUAGAAGUAAUGGUGAAUGUGCGUGAAGUUCGUUUUGAAUAUGAGAAACAGAUCCAAGUGAAAACUGCUUUGACAGAGGAGUUAACCUUAUUGAAACAAGUGGAUCAGUUGUCUUCAACUGGUGGGAUGCCUCACAGAGUAAACAAUCAACAUUCUAGAUUGUUAUCUAUGUCACCAAAUGCAAGAAGGGAAAGAAUAGCCUCCCUUGAGAACAUGCUUAGCAUGUCAUCAAAUGCAUUGACGGCGAUGGCUUCACAACUCUCGGAGGCAGAAGAAAGGGAGCGUGGUUUGGUCGGUCGUGGGCGGUGGAAUAAAGUACGCUCAAUAAAUGAUGCAAAGAACUUGCUUCAAUACUUGUUUAAUGCUACUGCAGAAUCAAGGUGCCAGUCGCGGGAGAAAGAUAUGGAAAUUAAGGACCUCAAACAGCAGUUGAAGGAUCUCACAGCUCUAUUAUGGGAAAGUGAGGCGCAGAAAAAGGAGCUUGUGAAGGAGCAAAAGAUGAGGGAGCAAGCUAUUGCUAUUGCCUUGGCUACAUCAGCUACGGGCAAUUCUCGCAGUUCAUCUAAACACUUUGCAGAUGAUUUGAGUGGUCCCCUUUCACCGGUGUCGCUCCCAGCCUCCAAGCAACUGAAAUUUACACCUGGGUUUGUUAAUGGGUCUAUUAGAGAGUCGGCAGCAUUUCUAGAUCUGACACGAAAGAUGGUACCAGUUGGACAUUUGUCAAUGAAGAAAUUGACAACCAAGGGUCAAACUGGAAAACUCUCGAGGUGGAAGAGAAGUCAUCACCAAUGGCUACUCCAAUUCAGGUGGAAGUGGCAGAAGCCAUGGAAACUAUCAGAAUGGAUCAAACACAGCGAUGAAACGAUCAUGAGAUCAAAGCCCCGAUCACUGACCUUGAUUGACCGGAUGUGAUAAAAAGCUCAUAGUGGCCAACGUUUUUGUCCUGCAUAUACAUCUUGACUGGAAAAUGGAUCUGCGUGGCUCACCAAAAAAAUAAAUGCAGGCAUGGUGUAAAUAGGGAAGAGGUUGCUACUACCAUAGUCUUACUGCAUGUGUCUAAACAGGAAGCUUAUGCAACCUUAGCAUGGUGACAAAGGACUUUGUGGUUUGAAACAGAUGUUUCAUUGGUUGUAGUUUUCCGCUUUAUUUGUUUUCUUUCUUUUUUUUUGAAAACGGAAUGUCUUCUGCCGGUGUUUCGAGUGUAUGAUUGAUCGAAUUUGUAUUAUUUGGAUG